Molecule: long non-coding RNA, 206 nt
Filed under: Elaeis guineensis (African oil palm)
Lineage: Eukaryota; Viridiplantae; Streptophyta; Magnoliopsida; Arecales; Arecaceae
Description: long non-coding RNA (EGUI_LNC007124)
Source: RNAcentral
CCCCCAUUUUCACGCCUCCUCAUCUUUGCAGCCAUGCAUGGCUAUUUUCCACAUUUAUCCAGGUAUAUCCAUCAGCAUUGGCUAAGAAAAACCGUAAUUUUUGAAUCGGAUCAUCGUGGACCGGAGCUCAUGCCAUUUCCAUCAAAUUAAACAGUACCUUUCUCUCUCUGAUUAAUAGUAUUUUCAGCCUCCAAAUCUGACCGUCA